UACGUAGGGUGCGAGCGUUAAUCGGAAUUACUGGGCGUAAAGCGUGCGCAGGCGGUUCGCUAAGACCGAUGUGAAAUCCCCGGGCUUAACCUGGGAACUGCAUUGGUGACUGGCGGGCUAGAGUAUGGCAGAGGGGGGUAGAAUUCCACGUGUAGCAGUGAAAUGCGUAGAGAUCCGGAGGAACACCAGUGGCGAAGGCGGCUGCCUGGGCCUGGCCUGACGCUGAGGCGCGAAAGCGUGGGGAGCAAUCCGG
This 253-nucleotide ribosomal RNA is filed under the name uncultured bacterium. Its description in RNAcentral is "partial 16S ribosomal RNA". It matches the Rfam family "Bacterial small subunit ribosomal RNA", at positions 524 to 776 of the family's 1533-position model. The record is from RNAcentral.